UAGUCAUCACUACAGCAGAGGUAACUAGUUCACCAUUAGACUAGUCAUCACUACAGCAGAGGUAUGUAGUUCACCGUUAGACUAGUCAUCACUACAGCAGAGGUAACUAGUUCACCAUUAGACUAGUCAUCACUACAGCAGAGGUAACUAGUUCACCAUUAGACUAGUCAUCACUACAGCAGAGGUAACUAGUUCACCAUUAGACUAGUCAUCACUACAGCAGAGGUAACUAGUUCACCAUUAGACUAGUCAUCACUACAGCAGAGGUAACUAGUUCACCAUUAGACUAGUCAUCACUACAGCAGAGGUAACUAGUUCACCAUUAGACUAGUCAUCACUACAGCAGAGGUAACUAGUUCACCAUUAGACUAGUCAUCACUACAGCAGAGGUAACUAGUUCACCAUUAGACUAGUCAUCACUACAGCAGAGGUAACUAGUUCACCAUUAGACUAGUCAUCACUACAGCAGAGGUAACUAGUUCACCAUUAGACUAGUCAUCACUACAGCAGAGGUAACUAGUUCACCAUUAGACUAGUCAUCACUACAGCAGAGGUAACUAGUUCACCAUUAGACUAGUCAUCACUACAGCAGAGGUAACUAGUUCACCAUUAGACUAGUCAUCACUACAGCAGAGGUAACUAGUUCACCAUUAGACUAGUCAUCACUACAGCAGAGGUAACUAGUUCACCAUUAGACUAGUCAUCACUACAGCAGAGGUAACUAGUUCACCAUUAGACUAGUCAUCACUACAGCAGAGGUAA
Oncorhynchus gorbuscha (pink salmon) is the source of this 762-nucleotide long non-coding RNA. RefSeq lists it as uncharacterized. The record is from RefSeq and is a predicted model, not a curated record. Lineage: Eukaryota; Metazoa; Chordata; Actinopteri; Salmoniformes; Salmonidae. The transcript has 3 exons.